UACAGAGGGUGCGAGCGUUAAUCGGAUUUACUGGGCGUAAAGGGCGCGUAGGCGGUGAGAUGAGUGUGAUGUGAAAGCCCCGGGCUUAACCUGGGAAGUGCAUCGCAAACGAUCUGACUGGAGUAGAUGAGAGGGUGGCGGAAUUUCCGGUGUAGCAGUGAAAUGCGUAGAGAUCGGAAGGAACGUCGAUGGCGAAGGCAGCCACCUGGCAUCAUACUGACGCUGAGGCGCGAAAGCGUGGGGAUCAAACAGG
Molecule: ribosomal RNA, 253 nt
Filed under: uncultured bacterium
Lineage: Bacteria
Description: partial 16S ribosomal RNA
Rfam family: Bacterial small subunit ribosomal RNA
Source: RNAcentral